ACGCAUGUCUAGAGUUUGAAAGAUGGUUCUGCUAUCACUCUUGGAUGGACCUGCGGUGCAUUAGCUAGUUGGUAAGGUAACGGCUUACCAAGGCAAUGAUGCAUAGCCGAGUUGAGAGACUGAUCGGCCACAUUGGGACUGAGACACGGCCCAAACUCCUACGGGAGGCAGCAGUAGGGAAUCUUCCACAAUGGACGAAAGUCUGAUGGGGCAACGCCGCGUGAGUGAAGAAGGGUUUCGGCUCGUAAAGCUCUGUUGGUAGUGAAGAAAGAUAGAGGUAGUAACUGGCCUUUAUUUGACGGUAAUUACUUAGAAAGUCACGGCUAACUACGUGCCAGCAGCCGCGGUAAUACGUAGGUGGCAAGCGUUGUCCGGAUUUAUUGGGCGUAAAGCGAGUGCAGGCGGUUCAAUAAGUCUGAUGUGAAAGCCUUCGGCUCAACCGGAGAAUUGCAUCAGAAACUGUUGAACUUGAGUGCAGAAGAGGAGAGUGGAACUCCAUGUGUAGCGGUGGAAUGCGUAGAUAUAUGGAAGAACACCAGUGGCGAAGGCGGCUCUCUGGUCUGCAACUGACGCUGAGGCUCGAAAGCAUGGGUAGCGAACAGGAUUAGAUACCCUGGUAGUCCAUGCCGUAAACGAUGAGUGCUAAGUGUUGGGAGGUUUCCGCCUCUCAGUGCUGCAGCUAACGC
Molecule: ribosomal RNA, 686 nt
Filed under: uncultured bacterium
Lineage: Bacteria
Description: bacterial SSU rRNA
Rfam family: Bacterial small subunit ribosomal RNA
Source: RNAcentral